GCAAGUUACCAGGAGGACUGACUGAUUCAGUGAACAACGCUGCAAUGUGCUCAACAUGUGUUUGGCUCACCUCCCGCUCUGCGCUCAUCUGCAGUCGACCACAGCAGACCAACCAAGGCUUUCUCUCAUUGAGUGAACAGACAGGGCAUCAUAUGACUGUCAUAAGACCUAAUGAACCACCAU
Corythoichthys intestinalis (scribbled pipefish) is the source of this 183-nucleotide long non-coding RNA. RefSeq lists it as uncharacterized. Lineage: Eukaryota; Metazoa; Chordata; Actinopteri; Syngnathiformes; Syngnathidae. The record is from RefSeq and is a predicted model, not a curated record. The transcript is spliced from 3 exons.